Molecule: long non-coding RNA, 1824 nt
Filed under: Capsella grandiflora
Lineage: Eukaryota; Viridiplantae; Streptophyta; Magnoliopsida; Brassicales; Brassicaceae
Description: long non-coding RNA (CGRA_LNC001397)
Source: RNAcentral
UUGGCCUACUGUAUAGCUCGUAAAUGGAAUCCGCAUUCUCGUUUAACCUCCCUACAUUCUUCAAACAAUCUAUCUCCUCUGGAUCCACUAGCAAAGUCUUUUCCUUUUCUUUCCAUCCUAUCAGCUGCACAAACCACAUUGUUCACCAUGUAUACUCACUUUCAUUACUUGAAAAAUCAAUUCAGGCUUUUUACGCAUCUUAUAGGAGGAAGAGUAGAACUGUAGAAGAAACUCAGGUCUAACCUUUGGAGAACCUUCAAGAGCAUUGGUGCAGUAAAGUCUAGCAUUGUCAACUAUGUUGCAAUAGGUAAGAAAUGCAUCGGCAAACCUCUUGUGAGAUCUCAGCUGAGAUCUCACUCUAACUGCUCUUCUACACAUUAUUGCUCUCCUGCAUAUUUAUAAUAACCAUAUAUGUUACGAACACACAUUCAAAGUAUAUUCCGAAGUGCACUUGGAACAUUCUCACCUAAUGCCUCGAAUCACUGCUAAAUAUGCAUCGCACACAACUCCAACUAACUCUAUCCUGUAUGGCUUUCUCUCUCGUCCAUCUUCUUGCAGCUGUUGUCUUUCGCCUAUGCGUUCCCAGUAGUUCUCUAUGACUUCUCCAUCCUCACCAACCUUGUAGCCGGCUCCCAUUCUGUAACGAUGGCGAUGCACAUUCCUUGCCAUGGUUAUGGUCUGAACCACAAAUGGUACCCAGGAGAGUGUUCCGUCCAUUAUCACAUCUCGCCCUUCGUUGAGAGCUGUAACGAGCAGUGAUGAUGCUGCAUCUGUUGAUGAUUGGUGAACCUGUUUUAAUGCCAUUUCACCGUCAAAGUUUCGCAAAUAUCUUCUUGGAUACUGUCAUAUUGAGUAUAAAAAAGGAAAUAAAAUGCUUAUAGUAUAUGAUUCUAUCUAUGUGUGUCCUGAGUAUAUGAUAGAGAAAUUGAAGAAUAUGUUCUUUGCUACUUUACUUAUGUACAUUUCCAUAUCUGGAAGACUUGAUUUGUUUCCUUGCACAUUUUGUCCCACCGCAGGUUCUUACUUAAAAGGAUUCUUAUUGCACCUAUAAAGAAACAAAGAACCUUACGAAUUCAGCAGUCUUGAUCAUAUCAACAUGGCCUCUGGAGCUUAAAGCUCUGUAUAUCACAUCAGAUUCUUUGAAAGCAUCUGCUUCGAUCACCACAGCAUCAGCUCCUGCCCAAAACGGUCUGAUCCAACGCACACAAGUAAGUACAGGUCAAUGAAUAAGAAACACUGAUAAAUGAUAAGUAUCUUGAUGUAGAUUUGAAUCAUUACUUACUCUUUGAGAAUGUCUUUAAGCACAGUGCUCUUUCCUGCACCCAUACCACCACCCAUAAGAAGUAAAACCGGGCUUCGGUCCUUGUGUGCAACUGGAGCCAUAACUUCUGUACACUCUGAAUCAUCAACGGAUGCUAUCCCCAUUGCUUUCAUUUCCUCUACCAAUGUGUUAAAGACUCUUGCCACUUUUAGAUUUUUAGUCACCCUCUCAAACCUCUGUUCCCUAUAUGCCAACCAAGGAACAAUCACACUUAGGAAAGAUCACUAAAAUAUAACACAAUCCAAAUUGAUUUUUAUUUUUCUGACCCACCUCGUAGCUGCCAUGACAAUAUGCUUGAGCUUCUUUUUAGGCUCUACAUCGGCGCUAAGUAUCUGAAAAAAAAUCCAUGAAAUGUUUUUGGUAUAUGAUCAAUUAUGAUGUUAACAAAGAAAUGAUACUAAAAGACUUUUGAUUUUGUUUCUCUGCAGUAACCUGACUAAUCAUGAGAUCUGCAUGGCUCCAGUGGUAAGCAAAAUAACUGAGAAUACAUCUCUCAAACUCCU